RNAcentral lists this ribosomal RNA (465 nucleotides) under uncultured bacterium. RNAcentral describes it as "partial 16S ribosomal RNA". It matches the Rfam family "Bacterial small subunit ribosomal RNA", at positions 338 to 795 of the family's 1533-position model. The record is from RNAcentral.
CCUACGGGCGGCAGCAGUGGGGAAUUUUGCGCAAUGCUCGUAAGAGUGACGCAGCGACGCCGCGUGAAUGACGAAGGCCUUCGGGUCGUAAAGUUCUUUCGACAGGGAAGAAAAUGCCUAUAAGUAACUGUGUAUGUAUUGACGGUACCUGUAUAAGCAGCCCCGGCUAACUCCGUGCCAGCAGCCGCGGUAAUCCGGAGGGGGCGAGCGUUGUUCGGAGGGACUGGGCGUAAAGAGCACGUAGGCGGUGUUGUAAGUCAUUAGUCAAAGACUAGAGCUCAACUUUAGUAAGGCUGGUGAUACUAUAAGACUAGAGUAGGAGAGAGGAUGGCGGAAUGCCUGGGGUAGCGGUGAAAUGCGUAGAUAUCAGGAGGAAUACCGUUAGCGAAGGCGGCAAUCUGGCUGGAAACUGACGCUGAGGUGCGAAAGCGUGGGUAGCAAACAGGAUUAGAUACCCGAGUAGUC